RNAcentral lists this ribosomal RNA (2588 nucleotides) under Trichoderma brevicompactum. RNAcentral describes it as "bacterial LSU rRNA". The stretch from base 959 to 2020 matches the Rfam family "Bacterial large subunit ribosomal RNA", at positions 571 to 2044 of the family's 2925-position model. The record is from RNAcentral. Lineage: Eukaryota; Fungi; Ascomycota; Sordariomycetes; Hypocreales; Hypocreaceae.
CAUUAACAAUAAAAAAUUUUCUAUUUAUUUUGUGAAAUUUACAUUUCUAAUACGUAAUAGAAAUUAUACAUUAACAUUAAGUGCGUGUAUAAAACUAUAUUACAUAAAAUAUAACAAUAUACGAUAUUUUUAUUUUAAACAUUAAGAAUCAUAAAUGAAUUCAUUAAUCAACAAUUUAUCUAACAAUGGGUCUAUAGUACCUAUAAAAUGCUAUGAUAAUGCAUUAUUAAAUAAAAGUACCAUUUUACUUGAAAAUAAAGGUAAACCUGGUAUUUAUCGUUGAACUAAUAAAUUAAAUAAUAAUACUUAUGUGGGUAGUGGUCUAAACUUAUCAAAAAGAAUGGGUGAAUAUUAUAAUCAAAGUGAAUUAAAAAGAAACCCUAGACCUAUUCAUGCUGCUUUACUAAAACAUGGAUACGAGAAUUUCAAAUUAGAAAUUUUAGAAUAUUGCAGAGCAGAUGAGCUUAUUAUAAGAGAACAGUAUUAUUUGGAUUUAUUAAUACCUGAAUAUAAUAUAUUAAAACAUGCUUAUUCUUUAUUAGGAUUUAAACAUAGUCUUGAUAAUAUAGAGAAAUUUAAAUUAAAAAAGAUUUCACAAGAGCAUAAAGAUUUAUUAUCUUCAAUACAUUUAGGAAAAGUAGUUAGUCAAGAAACUAGAGAUAAAUUAUCUCUUGCAACUGCUAACUUUAUGAAAAAUAAUCCCCUUACACCUGAAGCUUUAGCUAAUAUUACAACUAAAACUACAGAGCGUGAAGGAGUACCUGUUACACUUUUAAAUAUCCAAACUAAUGAAACAUUAGAUUUUCCUACUUUAACUAAAGCUGCGGAAUAUUUGGGUAUAAAAAGACAAGCUGUACGAAACGCAAUCAAUAGAGGAAGUAUUGUUAAAGAACUCUAUCGUGUUUCAGAAAAAUAGUAGGCAGUCCAUACACAUUUGUACUAACAAUUAUAUAAAUUACUUUAAUUUCAAUAAUUUAAUUGAAAUCAGGUUCAAUAACCUGUUGUCUAAAUGGAUAGUUCAUAAAUAUUAUAUGUGAACUAUUUAGGGAGAAGAUUUUUGCUUACUUAGUACAUAAGCAAAAUCGGCGUGUAUGUCGAAAGGGAAACAGCCCAGAACAAGAGUUAAGGUUCCUAAAUUAUUUGUUGAGUGAAAAUAAGAAGGUUUUUAUUUAAGUCGACAAGGAGAUAGGCUUAGAAGCAGCCAUAAUUUUAUGACCUCGUAACAGAGCGCUUGUUAAGUUAUAAAAGCGUCGAAAAUAUAACGGAUCUAAACAAUAUACCGAAACCUUGUCCAUAAUAUAUUAUAAUAAAUAUAUUUAUUGUAAUUAAAUGGGGUAGCAGAACGUUGAGCUAAAGUAUGAGUUUUAUUUUUUAAAUAAAAUUAUAGUAAUUUAACUCAAGUGAGAAUGGUGACAUGAGUAACUAAAAGAAAAUUUUCCGCCUUAAGCUUAUGGAUGUAAUUAAGUAACGGCCUCUAAGUUUAUAUAAUCUAAAGAUUUAAACGAUGAGAAAAUCUUUAUUACUAAAAACAACAUUUUGGUGCAAAAUGUGCUGGAAAAAUAGUAAUAUAUUUGUUAUUUAAUAACAAAUAAAAUAACCGUACCUAGAAUCUGAAACAAGUAAGCUAGUAGAGAAUACGAAGGCGUAAAUGAGCUAACAAUCAUAAAGGAACUCGGCAAAUUGACUACCGUAACUUCGGAAUAAGGAGGGCUCAUUAUUCUUGAUGGAUAUCAAGUAAAGAGGAAGAAGCAUGAAAUAAUGUUGUACGACUGUUUAAUUAAAACACAGCACUUUGCUGAAAGAUUAAAAAUCUAAGUAUAAAGUGUGAUAUCUGCCCGGUGCCGGCUGGUUAACAGAUAUAAUUGAAUAUACUAAUAUUUGAUGUAGACGGAAACCCCGGUUAAAGGCGGCCUUAACGUGAGGGUCCUAAGGUAGCGAAAUGCCUUGGCCGUUAAAUGCGGUCUUGCAUGAAUGGUGUAACGAUACAACAGCUGUCUCUAUGAUUGACUCAGUGAAAUUGGAAUAGCUGUGCAGAUACAGCUUACCUCUAGUUAGACGAGAAGACCCUAUGCAGCUUUACUGUCACUAAUUAUAGAGUAUGAUAAACGAUUUUCAGAAUAUAAGGUAAUUGACAAACAUGACAAUGAGAAACCUUUAUUCUUUUUUCAUAUGAAUGAAUUGGUUUAGGAUUAUGAGCAAUUUAUAAUUAAUUUUAUUGACCUAGCUUAUGCAUGGUUAUAUAUUAUUAUAUAGCUUAUUUUAGUAAAUCAACCUAAUUCAACUUAUCUAUUUUUUUAAUAAGUAAGUACCCUUUGGUAAGGAACUAUCGCUAGGGGACAGUUUAUGUGGGGCACAGACCCUGUAAAGAGUAAACAGGAGUGUCUAAAAAUUUAUAAUUAUUUUGUUUGCUAUUUUGAGUAGUUUAACUAUUUUUAAUCAUAUAAAAUUAAAUAUAUUUGCAUUUUAUGUAUAUAUAUUUAAAAUUAGGUAAGAUUUUCACUAUAUAGAAAUUAGAGAUAAUUGAAAAUAUUAUGAAUUUUUCUAAUAUUUUCUAGCUAUUAUUUAUAAUAGUUAUGUGUUUAAUAUCU